UUGGAUAACCGUGGUAAUUCUAGAGCUAAUACAUGCUGAAAACCCCAACUUCGGGAGGGGUGUAUUUAUUAGAUAAAAAACCAACGCCCUUCGGGGCUUCUUGGUGAUUCAUGAUAACUUCACGGAUCGCAUGGCCUUGCGCCGGCGACGGUUCAUUCAAAUUUCUGCCCUAUCAACUUUCGAUGGUAAGGUAUUGGCUUACCAUGGUUUCAACGGGUAACGGGGAAUUAGGGUUCGAUUCCGGAGAGGGAGCCUGAGAAACGGCUACCACAUCCAAGGAAGGCAGCAGGCGCGCAAAUUACCCAAUCCCGACACGGGGAGGUAGUGACAAUAAAUACUGAUACAGGGCUCUUUUGGGUCUUGUAAUUGGAAUGAGUACAAUUUAAACCUCUUAACGAGGAACAAUUGGAGGGCAAGUCUGGUGCCAGCAGCCGCGGUAAUUCCAGCUCCAAUAGCGUAUAUUAAAGUUGUUGCAGUUAAAAAGCUCGUAGUUGAAACUUGGGUCUGGCUGGCAGGUCCGCCUCACCGCGUGUACUUGUCCGGCCGGGCCUUUCCUUCUGGAGAACCUCAUGCCCUUCACUGGGCGUGUUGGGGAACCAGGACUUUUACUUUGAAAAAAUUAGAGUGUUCAAAGCAGGCCUUUGCUCGAAUACGUUAGCAUGGAAUAAUAGAAUAGGACGUGCGGUCCUAUUUUGUUGGUUUCUAGGACCGCCGUAAUGAUUAAUAGGGACAGUCGGGGGCAUCAGUAUUCAAUUGUCAGAGGUGAAAUUCUUGGAUUUAUUGAAGACUAACUACUGCGAAAGCAUUUGCCAAGGAUGUUUUCAUUAAUCAGUGAACGAAAGUUAGGGGAUCGAAGACGAUCAGAUACCGUCGUAGUCUUAACCGUAAACUAUGCCGACUAGGGAUCGGGCGAUGUUCUUUUU
This 923-nucleotide ribosomal RNA is filed under the name Dothidotthia robiniae. RNAcentral describes it as "SSU rRNA". It matches the Rfam family "Eukaryotic small subunit ribosomal RNA", at positions 139 to 1070 of the family's 1831-position model. The record is from RNAcentral. Lineage: Eukaryota; Fungi; Ascomycota; Dothideomycetes; Pleosporales; Dothidotthiaceae.